AUCGAACUGCUUCCCCCACGUUCGAUCAACGGUUGCUCCUCGUUCUAACGUUGGAUGCAAAWUUGCGGGUUCCUGUGCGGCAUACCUAUCGUGAUGGAAAUUCGUCCCUUCGGUUGUCCCUUUUCAUCCUCGCAUCCUUGGUGGAUGCUCGGUUGGACCGAACAGAAGGGCUCGUGCUUCACGAACAUCUCACACAAUCGUUCGCAUGGAGCUCGAGCGCCUUCUUGUUCUCUCGGAUGCAGAACUUGCCUCGCGGGCGUGUGGUCAUUGGCCCUCGGUCCCGAAUGUUGAAGCGUUCAUCGCUUAUAACAGAAUGACGGUCUCGCCUUGUCCUAUGAUCAUGUGGAGCUCUCGGGCGACCACGAAGGAUCAUGCUCGGCGGACGUCGUGACAGAAUGCU
This 400-nucleotide unclassified non-coding RNA is filed under the name Thryptomene calycina. RNAcentral's name for it is "partial external transcribed spacer". The record is from RNAcentral. Lineage: Eukaryota; Viridiplantae; Streptophyta; Magnoliopsida; Myrtales; Myrtaceae.